CUGCGCCUACGGGACGCAGCAGUGAGGAAUAUUGGUCAAUGGGCGGGAGCCUGAACCAGCCAUGUCGCGUGAGGGAAGACGGUCCUAUGGAUUGUAAACCUCUUUAGGCGGGGAGCAAUGCCGGGCACGCGUGCCCGGAGGGAGAGUACCCGCAGAAUAAGCAUCGGCUAACUCCGUGCCAGCAGCCGCGGUAAUACGGAGGAUGCGAGCGUUAUCCGGAUUUAUUGGGUUUAAAGGGUGCGUAGGCGGACUGUUAGGUCUGCGGUAAAAGCCCGGGGCUCAACCCCGGC
RNAcentral lists this ribosomal RNA (290 nucleotides) under uncultured bacterium. RNAcentral's name for it is "partial 16S ribosomal RNA". It matches the Rfam family "Bacterial small subunit ribosomal RNA", at positions 332 to 619 of the family's 1533-position model. The record is from RNAcentral.